GACGAACGCUGGCGGCGUGCUUAACACAUGCAAGUCGAACGGAAAGGCCCUGCUUUUGUGGGGUGCUCGAGUGGCGAACGGGUGAGUAACACGUGAGUAACCUGCCCUUGACUUUGGGAUAACUUCAGGAAACUGGGGCUAAUACCGGAUAGGAGCUCCUGCUGCAUGGUGGGGGUUGGAAAGUUUCGGCGGUUGGGGAUGGACUCGCGGCUUAUCAGCUUGUUGGUGGGGUAGUGGCUUACCAAGGCUUUGACGGGUAGCCGGCCUGAGAGGGUGACCGGCCACAUUGGGACUGAGAUACGGCCCAGACUCCUACGGGAGGCAGCAGUGGGGAAUAUUGCACAAUGGGCGGAAGCCUGAUGCAGCAACGCCGCGUGCGGUAUGACGGCCUUCGGGUUGUAAACCGCUUCCGCCUGUGACGAAGCGUGAGUGACGGUAAUGGGUAAAGAAGCACCGGCUAACUACGUG
This 468-nucleotide ribosomal RNA is filed under the name uncultured bacterium. Its description in RNAcentral is "partial 16S ribosomal RNA". It matches the Rfam family "Bacterial small subunit ribosomal RNA", at positions 28 to 507 of the family's 1533-position model. The record is from RNAcentral.